CCAAACUGUUGCCUCGGCGGGGUCACGCCCCGGGUGCGUCGCAGCCCCGGAACCAGGCGCCCGCCGGAGGGACCAACCAAACUCUUUUCUGUAGUCCCCUCGCGGACGUUAUUUCUUACAGCUCUGAGCAAAAAUUCAAAAUGAAUCAAAACUUUCAACAACGGAUCUCUUGGUUCUGGCAUCGAUGAAGAACGCAGCGAAAUGCGAUAAGUAAUGUGAAUUGCAGAAUUCAGUGAAUCAUCGAAUCUUUGAACGCACAUUGCGCCCGCCAGUAUUCUGGCGGGCAUGCCUGUCCGAGCGUCAUUUCAACCCUCGAACCCCUCCGGGGGGUCGGCGUUGGGGACCUCGGGAGCCCCUAAGACGGGAUCCCGGCCCCGAAAUACAGUGGCGGUCUCGCCGCAGCCUCUCCUGCGCAGUAGUUUGCACAACUCGCACCGGGAGCGCGGCGCGUCCACGUCCGUAAAACACCCAACUUCUGAAAUGUUGACCUCGGAUCAGGUAGGAAUACCCGCUGAACUUAAGCAUAUCAAA
RNAcentral lists this ribosomal RNA (531 nucleotides) under Trichoderma atroviride. RNAcentral describes it as "eukaryotic LSU rRNA". The stretch from base 150 to 303 matches the Rfam family "5.8S ribosomal RNA". The record is from RNAcentral. Lineage: Eukaryota; Fungi; Ascomycota; Sordariomycetes; Hypocreales; Hypocreaceae.